This 232-nucleotide long non-coding RNA is filed under the name Elaeis guineensis (African oil palm). RNAcentral's name for it is "long non-coding RNA (EGUI_LNC051419)". Lineage: Eukaryota; Viridiplantae; Streptophyta; Magnoliopsida; Arecales; Arecaceae. The record is from RNAcentral.
GCCCAUAGCUCAUCUAGGAUGUUGUUUGACUGAAGGAUUGAAUUACACAGUAAUUUACCACUGAAGGAUAUUUUGAUAAUUUUUUAUCAAAAUUUUAAAUCUUUGGGAUAGUCAUGAUAUGUUGCUAGACAUCAAUCAUGAUUUAUAGACUCAUCAAAAUUAAAAAAAAUUAAUUUAAAAAUUAAUUCGAAAGAGUCCUAGUUGAUUGGGACUGUUCAGGUGACCUAAUCUG